This 510-nucleotide ribosomal RNA is filed under the name uncultured bacterium. RNAcentral describes it as "bacterial SSU rRNA". It matches the Rfam family "Bacterial small subunit ribosomal RNA", at positions 36 to 518 of the family's 1533-position model. The record is from RNAcentral.
CUGGCGGCGUGCCUAAUACAUGCAAGUCGAACGGUCUUUCUAUGGAAGCUUGCUUCCACUGAAAAGAUAGUGGCGAACGGGUGAGUAACACGUGGGUAACCUGCCCAUAAGAGGGGGGAUAACAUCCGGAAACGGGUGCUAAUACCGCAUAGUUUUCUUGAUCGCAUGAUCGGGAAAGGAAAGACGGCCUUUGUGCUGUCGCUUAUGGAUGGACCCGCGGCGUAUUAGUUAGUUGGUGAGGUAACGGCUCACCAAGACGAUGAUACGUAGCCGACCUGAGAGGGUGAUCGGCCACAUUGGGACUGAGACACGGCCCAAACUCCUACGGGAGGCAGCAGUAGGGAAUCUUCCGCAAUGGACGAAAGUCUGACGGAGCAACGCCGCGUGAGUGAAAGAAGGUUUUCGGAUCGUAAAACUCUGUUGUCAGAGAAGAACAAGUUGGAGAGUAACUGCUCCAGCCUUGACGGUAUCUGACCAGAAAGCCACGGCUAACUACGUGCCAGCCGCCGC